This is a non-coding RNA of Mandrillus leucophaeus (drill), 472 nucleotides long. The record is from the annotation of a RefSeq genome assembly. NCBI's taxonomy places the organism in Eukaryota, Metazoa, Chordata, Mammalia, Primates, Cercopithecidae.
AAGGUGCAGAACUCACUCAGCUCUUCCCCAGGAGGACCAAGCCCUGCGUCAGGUGCAGUGCUGCCUGCCCCACUGUGCCAUGGGCCCCGGGCUCCUCUGCUGGGCGCUGCUUUGUCUCCUGGGAGCAGGCCCAGUGGACGCUGGAGUCACCCAAAGUCCCACACACCUGAUCAAAACGAGAGGACAGCAAGUAACUCUGAGAUGCUCUCCUAUCUCUGGGCACACCAGUGUGUACUGGUACCAACAGGCCCUGGGUCAGGGCCUCCAGUUCAUCCUUUGGUAUGAUGAGGAAGAACAGAGAGACAGAGGAACCUUCCCUCACAGAUUCUCAGGUCGCCAGUUCCCUAACUAUAGCUCUGAGCUGAAUGUGAAUGCCUCGGAGAUGGGGGACUCAGCCCUGUAUCUCUGUGCCAGCAGCUUGGCACAGCCUGGUAGAGUCACUGACAUUCUGUACGUAAACUUCCUGCCUUAG